This 253-nucleotide ribosomal RNA is filed under the name uncultured bacterium. RNAcentral describes it as "partial 16S ribosomal RNA". It matches the Rfam family "Bacterial small subunit ribosomal RNA", at positions 524 to 776 of the family's 1533-position model. The record is from RNAcentral.
GACAGAGGGUGCAAACGUUGUUCGGAAUUACUGGGCGUAAAGCGCGUGUAGGCGGCUUGGCAAGUCGGGUGUGAAAGCCCUGGGCUUAACCUAGGAAGUGCACUCGAAACUGCCGAGCUUGAGUUCUGGAGAGGAAGGCGGAAUUCUCGGUGUAGAGGUGAAAUUCGUAGAUAUCGAGAGGAACACCGGUGGCGAAGGCGGCCUUCUGGACAGCAACUGACGCUGAGACGCGAAAGCGUGGGGAGCGAACAGG